UCCCAUAUUGUCUAGUGGUUAGGAUACCUGGCUCUCACCCAGGAGGCCCGGGUUCAAUUCCCGGUAUUGGAA
RNAcentral lists this transfer RNA (72 nucleotides) under Daphnia pulex (common water flea). It matches the Rfam family "tRNA". Rfam says of the family: Transfer RNA (tRNA) molecules are approximately 80 nucleotides in length. Their secondary structure includes four short double-helical elements and three loops (D, anti-codon, and T loops). Lineage: Eukaryota; Metazoa; Arthropoda; Branchiopoda; Diplostraca; Daphniidae. The record is from Rfam by way of RNAcentral.